Molecule: ribosomal RNA, 403 nt
Filed under: uncultured bacterium
Lineage: Bacteria
Description: bacterial SSU rRNA
Rfam family: Bacterial small subunit ribosomal RNA
Source: RNAcentral
UUGGGAAUCGUACGCAAUGGACGAAAGUCUGACGUCGCGACGCCGCGUGCAGGAUGAAGGCCUUCGGGUCGUAAACUGCUUUUAUUGGGGAAAAUUAUGAUGGUACCCAAUGAAUAAGUGACUGCUAACUACGUGCCAGCAGCAGCGGUAAUACGUAGGUCACAAGCGUUAUCCGGAAUUAUUGGGCGUAAAGGGUUUUUAGGUGGUUAAGCGGGUCUUCGGUAAAAUCUCCAAGCUCAACUUGGAUUUCGCCGAAGAAACUACUUAGCUCGAGGAAUGCAGGGGCACAUGGAAUUCCCGGUGUAGCAGUGAAAUGCGUUGAUAUCGGGAAGAACACCAAUGGCGAAGGCAGUGUGCUAGGCUUUCCCGACACUGAAGAACGAAAGCGUGGGGAGCGAACGGG